This is a non-coding RNA of Ceratotherium simum simum (southern white rhinoceros), 330 nucleotides long. The record is from RefSeq and is a predicted model, not a curated record. Lineage: Eukaryota; Metazoa; Chordata; Mammalia; Perissodactyla; Rhinocerotidae.
CUCCUGAUAAGGUUUUCUUGUUGGAGCCUGGCUGAGCUUCAAUCAACAAAUAAGGUCCUGGGUGAGUGCAGCCCUUGCUGAGCUGGGAGAACUGAAGGGGGAGGGGGAAACUUACUCCAGGCCUGUUUUCCAGCUUCAUUAGUUCACAGGGUUUAUAUAACCUGCUGCAGAAAACAUUUUUGUGUGUAAUUCAAACAAACUCUGUUUUUCUAUUCCCUCUGUUGGUACCCUGCUGGGACAAGCCUGGGCUGAUGACAGCCAGCCCCCAGGUGAUGAGCUCAGGGAAGGGCACCAGCAAAAACAGUGUGUGUGUGGGAGCUCUGACCUUCA